UGAUGAUAGAAAAGGGCAUAAAAAGGUUAUCGGGAACCAGGGUUAUCUGGUAUAUUUGCUCUGCUCUCCCCUGGCACCUCUCAGUGGUUGCUCCUGCCUGAGCAUGCUCCUCUUUUCCAUCUGUAUUGUUUUUCACCCCAGCAUACUGUUGGAAGGGUUAUUCAGAAGGCAUUUGACUGAAGCGUACUUGGAAAGACCAAACCCAAACCACAGUAGUGACCAGAUACUUAGUGGCAGCCCCAGCUGCAGACUGUGCAGCUGUCAGCAGGAAGACCAGCCAUCCACUUUGGCCACGGCAGCGAGGCUUUCUGGUCAGUCUAGAAAUCAGUAGGUAUGGAGAUUGGCUUGCAAGUACUCAUCAGAGCUCCUAUUUUCUUUUCAGGAGGCAGCUGUAUGGAGGCCAAUAUGCAGACAAGGGAAGUAACUCAGGCAUUUUGGGGGAGAGGUACAGAAAGAAGAGAAACAAACUGACUGCUGUUCUGAACAAGAACUAUGACUAUAUGUGGUACUCUCAGAAUGCUGAUUUCCUUUCAGACCCAUCCAGUGGCUGUCCUCUUGGCUUGGACUGAAGACCCCCUCUGGAGAACUAUCUCUGCAGCCUAUACUGAUGACACUGGCCACUGUCCAGGGCUCCACCCCAACGAGUCCAAGGCCCAGACAUUCAGCGUCAGAGAGAAUCCAGAUUUUGCAUUUCCAGUGCAGGGAUUGAUGGAGCCUUCAAGGAUAGUGUAUCAAAGUGCCAAUUUCUUUCUAACAGGCUGGGGAGGAUACCGCUGACAGCAGCAGAAAGGGGUAGCAGUGGUUUGCUUUCCAAAUGGUAAUAAGAAGGGCCUGGCAGUGGCACCCUGUCCAUGCAUCAUUAAAAAUGGACUCUCCUGCUUCAUUUGGAAUUCGACCCAAUGAACUUGAAUAAACUCUGGACAAUGACCAGCACAGAGCUCUGAGCAGGAUACAGCAAGAUUAUUUGCUUUACUCAUCCACUGAGUACCUACCAUAUGGCAAAUACUAUGCUAUAUGCAGAGUGUACACUGGUGAGUAAAACAGAUAUGGUCCUUGGAGCCUAUGAAUCUUACCGUCUAGCCACAAAUAAUAAAAAGUAAGAAGAAUCUGAAGGACAACUGGGACACAAAUGAUCUUAGCCAAAAGGCCGAGAAGAGAUCACAAUGCUUUUUAAAGGUAGCAUUUCACCCAGACAAUAAUCAAUCCCUCUGGCCUUCUUGAGGUGCAGGGCCACACAUUCAAAUUCUUUAAUCAAACAAUAGGCUAGUGCAAAUGGAGCUAUUUCUUAAACCCAGCUGUUUACACAGCAGCUACAAAUCUGUUCAGAAAGAAUCCCCCACCAUCCACAACUAUCUAUCGAGCAGAUGUGCAAGAGUAUUUGUCUCUCACCACCAGGGUUGCAGUCAGGACAAGAGAGCAGGUUUGAACGUCUUCGGCUCCUAGAACUUCACAAGCUGUGUCUUUUGUGCCCAGAGGCGGCUGCAACCUCUUCCCAGUUCUCCUUUUAGAACAAUGGCGAUUUUUUUUUAGAGGCGUAAUAAGGAAGGUUUGCAUUGAAUUAUUAAACAAUAGGCAUUGAAAAAUAUGUUUUCUUUGACCUCUGUACCUCUAGCUUUUACCAGUGUUUUCUUGUACCAAGGCUAAGAUAUGUAUAACACUGAAA
Long non-coding RNA from Rhinopithecus bieti (black snub-nosed monkey), 1663 nucleotides. The record is from Ensembl. Lineage: Eukaryota; Metazoa; Chordata; Mammalia; Primates; Cercopithecidae.